Molecule: ribosomal RNA, 684 nt
Filed under: uncultured bacterium
Lineage: Bacteria
Description: bacterial SSU rRNA
Rfam family: Bacterial small subunit ribosomal RNA
Source: RNAcentral
GGGGGCAACCCUGGUGGCGAGUGGCGAACGGGCGAUUAAUGCAUCGGAACGUGCCCAGUAGUGGGGGAUAACACAUCGAAAGAUGUGCUAAUACCGCAUACGCACUACGGUGGAAAGCGGGGGAUCGUAAGACCUCGCGCUAUUGGAGCGGCCGAUGUCCGAUUAGCUAGUUGGUGGGGUAAUGGCCUACCAAGGCAACGAUCGGUAGCUGGUCUGAGAGGAUGAUCAGCCACACUGGGACUGAGACACGGCCCAGACUCCUACGGGAGGCAGCAGUGGGGAAUUUUGGACAAUGGGCGCAAGCCUGAUCCAGCCAUGCCGCGUGAGUGAAGAAGGCCUUCGGGUUGUAAAGCUCUUUCGGCCGGAACGAAAUCGUCCGGGCUAAUACCCCGGAUGGAUGACGGUACCGGAAGAAGAAGCACCGGCUAACUACGUGCCAGCAGCCGCGGUAAUACGUAGGGUGCAGGCGUUAAUCGGAAUUACUGGGCGUAAAGCGUGCGCAGGCGGCUUCUCAAGUCAGAUGUGAAAUCCCCGGGCUUAACCUGGGAACUGCGUUUGAAACUGGGGAGCUAGAGUGUGGCAGAGGGGGGUGGAAUUCCACGUGUAGCAGUGAAAUGCGUAGAUAUGUGGAGGAACACCGAUGGCGAAGGCAGCCCCUGGGCCUGCACUGACGCUCAUGCACGA